This 253-nucleotide ribosomal RNA is filed under the name uncultured bacterium. Its description in RNAcentral is "partial 16S ribosomal RNA". It matches the Rfam family "Bacterial small subunit ribosomal RNA", at positions 524 to 776 of the family's 1533-position model. The record is from RNAcentral.
UACGUAGUCAGCAAGCGUUGUUCGGAGUUACUGGUCGUAAAGAGUGCGUAGGUGGUGCCCUAAGUCUGUUGUGAAAUCUCCCGGCUUAACUGGGAGGGUGCGGUGGAAACUGGGGUGCUUGAGUGUGGGAGAGGAUGGUGGAAUUCCCAGUGUAGAGGUGAAAUUCGUAGAUAUUGGGAAGAACACCGGUGGCGAAGGCGGCCAUCUGGACCGCAACUGACGCUGAGGCGCGAAAGCGUGGGGAGCAAACAGG